GUGUCAGCAGCCGCGGUAAUACGUAGGUGGCAAGCGUUGUCCGGAUUUACUGGGCGUAAAGGGAGCGUAGGUGGAUAUUUAAGUGGGAUGUGAAAUACUCGGGCUUAACCUGGGUGCUGCAUUCCAAACUGGAUAUCUAGAGUGCAGGAGAGGAAAGUAGAAUUCCUAGUGUAGCGGUGAAAUGCGUAGAGAUUAGGAAGAAUACCAGUGGCGAAGGCGACUUUCUGGACUGUAACUGACGCUGAGGCUCGAAAGCGUGGGGAGCAAACAGGAUUAGAUACCCUGGUAGUCCACGCCGUAAACGAUGGGUACUAGGUGUGGGGGUAUCGACUCCCCCU
RNAcentral lists this ribosomal RNA (338 nucleotides) under uncultured Clostridium sp. RNAcentral describes it as "bacterial SSU rRNA". It matches the Rfam family "Bacterial small subunit ribosomal RNA", at positions 505 to 842 of the family's 1533-position model. The record is from RNAcentral. Lineage: Bacteria; Bacillati; Bacillota; Clostridia; Eubacteriales; Clostridiaceae.